Gordionus sp. m RMFG-2023 is the source of this 944-nucleotide long non-coding RNA. RefSeq lists it as uncharacterized. NCBI's taxonomy places the organism in Eukaryota, Metazoa, Nematomorpha, Gordioida, Chordodea, Parachordodidae. The record is from RefSeq and is a predicted model, not a curated record. The transcript has 3 exons.
CACCAUGUUUAUUGUUUUUUCUUUUCACUUUAAUAAAUACUCAAUUUAAUAGAGAUUAGGCGAAUUACCAGUUAAUUAGAUAAGAAUCUUAAAAUCAAACAAGACUAUUCUUUAAAUUAACAACUUAUUAAUACUUGCUAAUAAUUUGGGAAAAAUCAUAAUUCUAACUAACAUCUAAAGAAAAUCAGAUUCUGAUCUAUUCAUCAUCAUAUAGCAUAUUAGUAUCUAUUAAAUGGUUCGGGAAAAGUCAAAUCCUGUGCGAUCAUAUUUUAAAUUAGAUAUUGUAAAAAAUCAAUCUACUUGUAAACUAGAAAACUGUGGUAAAGUUUUAACCGGGGACCAUGCAGCAAAUCUUGAACGACAUAUAGAAAGAUUCCACGAUAAGGAAUUCAAAUUAUUUAAAAAAAAGAAGAUAAUUUGACUAUUAAAAAAACAAUAACAAAAAAUGCAAAUAAUCAUAAUACAAUUCAAAAUGCUUUUACCAAAACUAAUACAAUAUAAAUUAAUAUUAAUAAAGACACUUUAAUCCGCUCCUCCACUGAGUUAAUCACAGUUCAUGGGAGACCAAUAAAAUCAAUUGAUGACAAAGCAUUUAGAAAUAUUAUAGAUCCGAUAAUUGUAGGAUUGGGUGGUAAUUUAACCAUCAAUUCUGAAAAUAUACGCAAUAAUAUUAAAAAAAUGGCAUUUGAUUUUUCGCAAAAUUUAAAAAAAGAAAUAUACCAAAAACUUAUAUCGUUAAAAUUAGAUAUUGCAACUCGAUAUGAUAGGUCCAUACUGGGGAUCAAUAUUCAAUUUAUAGAUAAUGGAGAAAUAAAAUUAAGAACGUUAUGCAUAAAAGAGAUAAAAGAAAGACAUACAUCAGAAUAUCUAAAAAAAAUUAUUCUAGAUGUUCUAAACGAACAUGAAAUAAGAAUUGAUCAAAUUUAUACGAUAACCACAGACAA